CACGCAGGCGGUUUUUUAAGUCAGAUGUGAAAGGUACCGGCUCAACCGGUGACAUGCAUUUGAAACUGAAAGACUUGAGUAUUGGAGAGGCAAGUGGAAUUCCUAGUGUAGCGGUGAAAUGCGUAGAUAUUAGGAGGAACACCGGUGGCGAAGGCGGCUUGCUGGACAAAUACUGACGCUGAGAUGCGAAAGCGUGGGGAGCAAACA
RNAcentral lists this ribosomal RNA (207 nucleotides) under uncultured bacterium. Its description in RNAcentral is "partial 16S ribosomal RNA". It matches the Rfam family "Bacterial small subunit ribosomal RNA", at positions 568 to 774 of the family's 1533-position model. The record is from RNAcentral.